This 393-nucleotide long non-coding RNA is filed under the name Haliotis rubra (blacklip abalone). RNAcentral's name for it is "uncharacterized LOC124281995, transcript variant X2". Lineage: Eukaryota; Metazoa; Mollusca; Gastropoda; Lepetellida; Haliotidae. The record is from RNAcentral.
UGUAGGUUUGUUUUAAGUAGACACUGUGUAACAGAGCCACACUGGAGGUUUGGUGUAAGUAGACACAGUCUAACAGGACCACACUGGAGGUUAGGUGUAAGUAGACACUGUGUAAAAGAGCCACACUGGAGGUUUGGUGUAAGUAGACACAGUCUAACAGAGCCACACUGGAGGUUUGGUGUAAGUAGACACAGUCUAACAGAGCCACACUUGAGGUUUGGUAUAAGUAGACACUGUGUAACAGGGCCACACUGGAGGUUUGGUAUAAGUAGACACUGUGUAACAGGGCCACACUGGAGGUUUGGUAUAAGUAGACACUGUGUAACAGGGCCACACUGGAGGUUUGGUGGAAGUAGACACAGUCUAACAGAACCACACUUGAGGUUAGGUGUA